This 73-nucleotide transfer RNA is filed under the name Nesterenkonia lacusekhoensis. RNAcentral describes it as "tRNA-Gln". It matches the Rfam family "tRNA". From Rfam's summary of the family: Transfer RNA (tRNA) molecules are approximately 80 nucleotides in length. The record is from RNAcentral. RNAcentral also lists the same sequence under 1 other name. Lineage: Bacteria; Bacillati; Actinomycetota; Actinomycetes; Micrococcales; Micrococcaceae.
UCCGCCAUGGUGUAAUCGGCAACACUCCGGUUUUUGGUACCGGCAUUCUAGGUUCGAGUCCUAGUGGCGGAAC